This 430-nucleotide ribosomal RNA is filed under the name uncultured archaeon. RNAcentral's name for it is "bacterial SSU rRNA". It matches the Rfam family "Archaeal small subunit ribosomal RNA", at positions 572 to 997 of the family's 1478-position model. The record is from RNAcentral.
CUUCGGGGGAUACUGCCAGGACUUGGAACCGGGUAGAGGGUAAGAGGUACUACAGGGGUAGGAGUGAAAUCUUGUAAUCCCUGUGGGACCACCUGUGGCGAAGGCGUCUUACCAGAACGGGUUCGACGGUGAGGGACGAAAGCUGGGGGCACGAACCGGAUUAGAUACCCGGGUAGUCCCAGCCGUAAACGAUGCUCGCUAGGUGUCAGGCAUGGCGCGACCGUGUCUGGUGCCGCAGGGAAGCCGUGAAGCGAGCCACCUGGGAAGUACGGCCGCAAGGCUGAAACUUAAAGGAAUUGGCGGGGGAGCACAACAACGGGUGGAAGCCUGCGGCUUAAUUGGACUCAACGCCGGACAACUCACCGGGGGCGACAGCAAUAUGUAGGCCAAGCUGAAGACUUUGCCUGAAUCGCUGAGUAGAGGUGCAUGG